Molecule: ribosomal RNA, 253 nt
Filed under: uncultured bacterium
Lineage: Bacteria
Description: partial 16S ribosomal RNA
Rfam family: Bacterial small subunit ribosomal RNA
Source: RNAcentral
GACGUAGGGCGCGAGCGUUGUCCGGAUUUAUUGGGCGUAAAGAGCUCGUAGGCGGCUUGUCGCGUCGACUGUGAAAUCCCGCGGCUCAACCGCGGGCUUGCAGUCGAUACGGGCAGGCUUGAGUUCGGUAGGGGAGACUGGAAUUCCUGGUGUAGCGGUGAAAUGCGUAGAUAUCGGGAGGAAUACCGAUGGCGAAGGCAGGUCUCUGGGCUGACACUGACGCUCAUGCACGAAAGCGUGGGGAGCAAACAGG